GCAAUGUGGCCGUGGUCGUGCUUAUCAUUUACUGCCGCAGGGAUGUCAUGGAUGAGAGUUCUCGAAGUGAGGAGCUGGAAUCUAUCAAAGCAAAUCCUGAACCAACUGACACUUUAGAUUCAACACCGUGUAGUGUGUAGAUUUCUGCUGUGCUAAAUAAAUACCAGUUUUAAGGAAGAAUAUUGCUACUGGAGAGAUAAUAAAAAUCAGUGUAAAAGAAAAAAUAUCUAUACAAUCUCAGAUGAUGUAUAAAUGGUGUUAUUUUUGGCCUACAAACAGACAAAAGGAAGAGACCAGUAAUAUACCAUUGUAAGUCCUAGUCAUUAAUAUCUAUCUGUAAUGUCAAGCACUAAUGUAUAUGUUAUUUAUUUAACAUAUCUAGUCAUUAGUUGUGCCAAAUAGUUUUGGUAUUAAAAUAACAAUGUCCCCUAAAGAUCAUGUUACUGUUUUCUUUUUUUUUAAUGAGUACAACUGAAACUAGGCUGCAUUUAGUGGACACUAAAUUAAAAAUGUAAUUAAAGAAUCUCUAAUAAGAUUGCAUAUGAUAAGGAGCUGAAUGACCCACACUUCAACUUAUUUUUCAAACAAAUGAAAUUAUAUUCUUUUAAUGUGAAUCAAAUGGUUGAGUUCUUUAUGAAACAAGGCUUUACAAUUAUCAGUAAAAGCUGAAUUGAAGUCCUUGCACUUAAAAUAUACAAGAGAGUCCAUCAAUAAAUGUCAUAAAAACAUUUAAAUUCUUUGGUGUAAUUUAUAUGUUCAUGUAUCUGUAAAAAUUAACUAACUCUUAGCUAAUGAACCCUGUGGCAUAUAUACAUUUUUUUUUCUUGUCAAUCUGAACUACAAAAUGUGUUGAACAAUAUUCAUUUGACUUUACAAGCGAACCUUUACAAUAAAGGAUGUAUUUUGUACAAUAUUACUUAUACCCAUUACAGAAAUGUAAAGGGAAAAACAGUACUUAACUUAAUUUUUUUUCCUUCGCUUAGAAAUGGAUAGAUAGAUGUAAAACAGAUUCAAAGUCUUCAACAUUUAUAAACAUUUAGUCUUAUAGUGCAGGAUUCCCUUAGAUUACUGACAAGUUUUAUAUCAAAGAUAUACUUUUGUAAUGAAAAGGCAAGUCACAAGAGAAAAAAAGAAAUGUACUAGAGUAACUCCUCUCAAAGUAAGACGUAGCAAUUGCCAAACUUAAAAGUUGCAUUAGCAGUUGCUGCCGUAUAAAGUAAGUAUGGUCAUGGUGCUGCUUCUUGCAAAGGGCUUUACUAAUGAUAAUGCAUUACCUCUAUAGUAAUCACAAUGCCUUUUUAUCAUUUGACCAGGAGUUUGAUGCAUUUCUAUAAUUAGUAGCCUUUGGCAGACAGCACCAUGGUAAAGGCUUUUACACUCAAGGUUUUCCCUCCAUAUGUCUUGCUAUAAGAGGGUUAAUUUUGCAUUUCUGCAUGAAAAUCAUAUUUGCCUAAUGUGUCAUAAAUGCACUUUAAAUAAAUGAAUUCUCUCAUAUCAAAUCUGAAAGGUAACAUUUGAUAUCAAAAUAAGGACUAAUCCAUA
Non-coding RNA from Penaeus vannamei (Pacific white shrimp), 1542 nucleotides. NCBI's taxonomy places the organism in Eukaryota, Metazoa, Arthropoda, Malacostraca, Decapoda, Penaeidae. The record is from RefSeq and is a predicted model, not a curated record.